This 94-nucleotide transfer RNA is filed under the name Treponemataceae bacterium. RNAcentral describes it as "tRNA-Asp". The record is from RNAcentral. Lineage: Bacteria; Pseudomonadati; Spirochaetota; Spirochaetia; Treponematales; Treponemataceae.
GGUUGUGGCGCGGCGUCCUUGCCGCGCGGCGGGUUGUCGUUCCGCCGCUACGCGUGCCGGUAGUGUUUUUGCGUGCCGGUUGCUACGCAACCAC